UGACCAGUUAAUCUGUAUCUGCUUGGAGCCC
This 31-nucleotide non-coding RNA is filed under the name Homo sapiens (human). The record is from RNAcentral. Lineage: Eukaryota; Metazoa; Chordata; Mammalia; Primates; Hominidae.